UAUGAUAAUUUGGUUACUCGA
RNAcentral lists this non-coding RNA (21 nucleotides) under Caenorhabditis elegans. The record is from RNAcentral. Lineage: Eukaryota; Metazoa; Nematoda; Chromadorea; Rhabditida; Rhabditidae.